Pongo pygmaeus (Bornean orangutan) is the source of this 254-nucleotide long non-coding RNA. RefSeq lists it as uncharacterized. Lineage: Eukaryota; Metazoa; Chordata; Mammalia; Primates; Hominidae. The record is from RefSeq and is a predicted model, not a curated record. The transcript is spliced from 3 exons.
UCCUGGUGAAAUGUGCUGAGGUUUCUGCUGUGCGGAGCACUACCUCAGCUCCACGGCCUGGCCAGAAAUGACAAGUGGAGGAUAGCAUGAAUCUCUGACAUCCAUCGAUCAUCCCCAGGCUCCAUUAAAGCACCUAAAGUCCUGCUCUGUCGCCCAGAUUGGAGUGCAGUGGCGUGAUCUUGGCUCAUUGUAAGCUCCACCUCCCUGGUUCAUACCAUUCUCCUGCCUCAGCCUCCCAAGUAGCUGGGACUACA